UUUGACGUUAGCGACAGAAGAAGCACCGGCUAACUCCGUGCCAGCAGCCGCGGUAAUACGGAGGGUGCGAGCGUUAAUCGGAAUACUGGGCGUAAAGCGCAUGCAGGUGGUUUGUUAAGUCAGAUGUGAAAGCCCGGGGCUCAACCUCGGAAUUGCAUUUGAAACUGGCAGACUAGAGUACUGUAGAGGGGGGUAGAAUUUCAGGUGUAG
This 210-nucleotide ribosomal RNA is filed under the name Vibrio parahaemolyticus. RNAcentral describes it as "partial 16S ribosomal RNA". It matches the Rfam family "Bacterial small subunit ribosomal RNA", at positions 468 to 678 of the family's 1533-position model. The record is from RNAcentral. Lineage: Bacteria; Pseudomonadati; Pseudomonadota; Gammaproteobacteria; Vibrionales; Vibrionaceae.